RNA transcript from Mus pahari (shrew mouse), 1002 nucleotides. It is a transcript of the gene named mortality factor 4-like protein 1 pseudogene, with no coding region annotated. The record is from RefSeq and is a predicted model, not a curated record. Lineage: Eukaryota; Metazoa; Chordata; Mammalia; Rodentia; Muridae. The transcript has a single exon.
AUGGUGCCCAAGCAGAACCCGAAGCCUAACUUCCAGGAGGGGUGAACGAGGGCUGUGCUUUCAUGGGCCUCUUCUUUAUGAAGCAAAGUGUGUAAAGGUUGCCAUAAAGGACAAACAAGUGAAAUACUUCAUCCAUUACAGUGGUUGGAAUAAAAAUUGGGAUGAAUGGGCGCCAGAAAGCAGAGUAUUCAAAUACAUGGACACCAAUUUGCAGAAACAGCGAGAACCUCAAAAGGUCAAUCAGGAAAAAAUACGCAGAGGGCAAGAUGAGAGGGGGUUGCUCCAGGGAGGAAGGCAUCCGGUCUGCAACAGAAAGAUGUUAAAGUGAAAACAAAAAAGAGCAAGCAGGAAACACCUGGAAAUGGAGAUGGUGGCAGUACCCGUGAGGCACCUCAGCCUCCUAGGAAGGAGAGAGCCCGGGUAGAUCCUACCAUUUCUAUGAAAAUGAAGAAAUAUGCAUGAGCAGAGCUGAAGUUAAAGUGAAGAUUCCUGAAGAGCUGAAACUGUGGCCUGUGGAUGACUGGGGCUUGAUCACCAGACAAAAGCAGCAUUUUAUCUUCCUGCCAAGAAGACUGUGGGUUCCCAGAUGAUAAGGAGUACGCUGUUCAUGAGGCUGUGGCAGGCGUGAAGGGGUAUUUCAAUGUAGUGUUGGGCACUCAGCUACUCUACAAACUUGAGAGACCACAGUAUGCUGAAAUUCUCUCUGAUCUCCCGGAUGCACCCAUGUACGGAGCGCCACAUUUGCUGAGAUGAUUUGUGCGAAUUGGAGUGAUGUUGACCUAUACACCUCUAGAUGAGAAAAGCUUUGCUUUAUUACCGAACUGUCUACAAGAUUUCCUCAAGUACCCGGUGAAGAAUUCUGCAACUUUGUUCAGUGCCAGUCAUUAUGAAGCGGCUGCUCCUGAGUACCCUCGGAAAGCUGUGAGAGGGGCGUGCUCUCUCUCUCACUCGUGCUUGGAGUUCGGUAAAGUUUGGUUCUUAGUCCUUCUCUUGUACAAAUGA